This 253-nucleotide ribosomal RNA is filed under the name uncultured bacterium. RNAcentral's name for it is "partial 16S ribosomal RNA". It matches the Rfam family "Bacterial small subunit ribosomal RNA", at positions 524 to 776 of the family's 1533-position model. The record is from RNAcentral.
GACAGAGGCCUCGAGCGUUAGGCGGAAUCACUGGGCUUAAAGCGUGUGUAGGCGGGCCCGUAAGUGUCUUGUGAAAUCCCCCGGCUCAACCGGGGAACGGCUGGGCAUACUGCGGGUCUUGGGCCGACUAGGGGCAGCCGGAACAAGCGGUGGAGCGGUGAAAUGCGUAGAGAUUAGGAAGAACACCAGUGGCGAAGGCGACUUACUGGACUGUAACUGACGCUGAGGCAUGAAAGCGUGGGGAGCAAACAGG